CUGAAAGGUAGAAGGACGUUACUCUUCGGAGUGAGAGCGUACACAGGUGCUGCAUGGCUGUCGUCAGCUCGUGUCGUGAGAUGUUGGGUUAAGUCCCGCAACGAGCGCAACCCUGCAUUCAGUUGCCAUCGGUAAGGCCGGGCACUCUGGAUGGACUGCCGGCGACAAGCCGGAGGAAGUGGGGACGACGUCAAGUCAUCAUGGCCCUUAUGUCCAGGGCGACACACGUGCUACAAUGGCCGGCACAACGGGAAGCGAAGGGGCGACCCUGAGCGGAUCCCACAAAAGCCGGUCUCAGUUCGGAUUGCAGUCUGCAACUCGACUGCAUGAAGUUGGAAUCGCUAGCAAUCGUGGAUCAGCCAAGCCGCGGUGAAUACGUUCCCGGGCCUU
Molecule: ribosomal RNA, 390 nt
Filed under: uncultured Thermovirga sp.
Lineage: Bacteria; Thermotogati; Synergistota; Synergistia; Synergistales; Thermovirgaceae
Description: bacterial SSU rRNA
Rfam family: Bacterial small subunit ribosomal RNA
Source: RNAcentral